This 443-nucleotide ribosomal RNA is filed under the name uncultured bacterium. RNAcentral describes it as "partial 16S ribosomal RNA". It matches the Rfam family "Bacterial small subunit ribosomal RNA", at positions 338 to 795 of the family's 1533-position model. The record is from RNAcentral.
CCUACGGGUGGCAGCAGUGGGGAAUAUUGCACAAUGGGGGGAACCCUGAUGCAGCAAUGCCGCGUGAAGGAUGAAGGUUUUCGGAUUGUAAACUUCUUUUUUUCGGGACGCAGAAAGUGACGGUACCGUACGAAUAAGCCACGGCUAACUACGUGCCAGCAGCCGCGGUAAUCAGUAGGUGGCAAGCGUUAUCCGGAUUUACUCGGUGUAAAGGGCGAGUAGGCGGGAUUGCAAGUCAGAUGUGAAAACUAUGGGGCCAACCGAUAGAGUGCAUUUGAAACUGCAGUUCUUGAGUGAUGGAGAGGCACGCGGAAUUCGCGGUGUAGCGGUGGAAUGCGUAGAUAUCGGGAAGAACACCAGUGGCGAAGGCAGCCUGCUGGACAUUAACUGACGCUGAGGCGCGAAAGCGUGGGGAGCAAACAGGAUUAGAUACCCCUGUAGUC